CCCUGCAGACCGAUGCUCUACCACUGAGCCAAACCGGUUGCGGCUAAAUCUUAAAUUUAAGAAAAUUUAACACAUAAUAUAAUAUUCUUUUAAAAUUCUAAGGACUUACAGGAAUGUAUUCAGUGCUAAUUCUGCUAAACAUAGAUUUUGUGAUCUUGCUAUUCACAUCAAAACCACUUUCUUCCACAGCAUGGCCGAACACUGUGAUUAUUGCUAUUCUAAAUAAACGGGUUUCGUGAACUUCAUAGAGCUUUGUUGUUUGUUUUAAAUGUGGAACACAUAACCAAAAGUGUAAGUUUUGGUUGCUAAUCUGGAUUAAAUGCAACCUAAACUUAAAAUUCCUCUACUCUUUCAGACUGAAUCUCGUCUAAAUUUAUCAAGCCUAUAGUUAAUUAUCUGUGGAUUACUCCUAAAACAUUUGCUAAUGUGUGAACAUGAUCAGAGUUAACUUUACAAACCUUAUCUGAAGUACCAUAAUUAACAGUCACUGUAGGACGGACAUUGACAGUACUUUAUUAACACUAAAUAUUGAUGUUAUUUUGAGCCUCAGAAUUGUGACAAUAUUUGCUAUACAUUCCCUAAAUAGUGCAAAACAAUGUUUACUAUAUUGUAAAGACUCAGUAAUGAAAAAAACUAGUAUUUGCCCUCAGAGAGCUUACAGUCUAGUUGAUAUGACAGAAUUAUAUACCACAGACAUGCAAAAACUACUUAGGAAGCAAAAGAAAUUUCACAUUUUUAGGGCUCAGCUGAGCCUUCCUGAAGGAGAGAUUUGAGGUGAGUCUUGAAAUUUGAAAGGCUAAACUAUAUGUGGCAUUACUAGGAAAGUGAUAGAGAAAGCUGAACUGUAGAUAUUUACUGUUAUGGAAAAUGGAAUUCCAACCAUGAAUCUGAAAAUGUGGCUUAUGAUAAACUUGAGCUAGCCUUAAAUAUUGGAAAAACUUUUCACACAACUUCUUAAAUACUAUUUUUCAAUCACCAACUAGAUUUUUUAGAAACUGUUUUUUCAAAACUUCACAGGAGUUCACAUUUGGAAACAUGAUGGACACAGCAUUUGCUCCUUAACAUUAUUUGUACAGUAUUUUUUUUAUACCUGAAAUUGCAAACUAGAGGCCCACAAGCAGUCCUGAUAGGUUUGACUACAUAGUAGUAUAGUGGUUGUUUUGUGUUUUUAACUGAAUUUAAAUGCAUUAAGGCAGAACAUGGGCACCUCACUCUCCUACUGUAGCAUUCCCUAAUAACAUGUCUAAAUUCACAUAUAUAUGUUUCCUUUCUGAUUUCUAUAUAUAUGAACUGAAUAGCAAAUACAUUGAUUUUUAAUUGAGUCUAUCUGAAAAUUUAUAACUACUUAAAUUGUACUAAGAAUGAGAAAUCCAGGGUCUUAGAAAUUAUUUUCUUUAAAACCCCCCUUCUUAAUUUCAUAGUUACUAUUUAUGAAGGCCCAAGAAAAGUAUAGGUAGUCCUACUAAUAACUGAAGUAUAACUCCAAGUUCAUGGAUAUUAUUCCUAUUCCUAGAAAGCCACAAAAAUAUUCAAUCUCCAGUCUAUUUACUUAUUUCAAAUUCCACACAAUAGCAAAAAGUAGCAAAAGAAUGUCACAAUAGUAAGGUGAAACAGCUAAUAGAAUAAUGAAAGAAAAACUAGAAAAAUGACACAAAUCCAAAAGCCCCAAUAAUGUAUGCUUAGUCUAAAACAUUUAGUCUAAGAAACUAUAGUCAAAAUAUUUUGUUCAAGGUAAACAAAAAUACGCAGUUUGGUUUUUUUAAGUUCUGGAUAGAAAACCUUUUUAAAAGUUCAUUGCUAAAAUGAGUUAACUCAGCUAUAUUAACUAUAGGUCUCAAAAGUAUUGAGAAAGUUGUAUACAUACCCCAAGUUUAUCUAAAAACGUGAUCAUACGAUGUUUAUUACUUUUGAUGAAAGGAUUGACUCCUUCCAUAUAGGGCUCCUAAAAAUAUAAACACAAAAAGCUUACUAUAUGCAUUAAAAACAAACAUCUGAUCUAUAUAAUAAAAACAUACAUGUUAUAAGAAUUCUUUAAAAUAUGUAUUAUCAAUAGCAAUACAUGUUCACAGUGACAAUAUUUUCAUUCUAAUAUAAGCAAACAGCUAUACUAAAGAACUGGAAUUUUUUAGUAAAAAAAAUUCUGGAAUGAGAAUGCAUCAGAGCAUAUAGCCUAGCAGAUACAAAUUGCUCAUAUGUAAUUCAUUCAAAAAUAACUAAGAAACUAUUAUUUGCCAAGCAUCAGGACAAACAUGGGUCCAACCCUAAGGGUAGAAUCUAGCAGAAAAUAUAGGGAAUUAAAGUGUGCAAAGGACUAUAAUAGGAAAAUAUAUAUGAGUUAGAUAAAUCCAAAAACUAAGCCAGACAUAUAAACUGCUCUUCAUACUAAAAUCUUAUAUGCUAUGUUAUAAAAUAGGAGGUUAGUAUUAACACAACUGCUUUUAAAAUCAGUAAGUUCAAUAAGGAGAUGAGAUAAAGACCUCAUCAAUUCCAAGAAAUAAACAUGAAAAAUCAUUCAAUUUCUCUAAGAGUAAUGAAACACCAAAGUAGCGUUAUGCCUAUUUUUCAUCAAGGCUGUGGGGAACAUAAUGUCUUGUAAUCUUAUUCCAAAGUUAGUUAAACAUAUAAAGACACUUGUUACAGCAAUAUUUAUGGUAGUGAUAAAUUGGAAGCCAUCGAAAUAGCCAAUAGAGAACUAUUUAAGAUCUGUCUAUAUGAUGGCAUACUAAAUAAUCAUUAAGCACAAUAAAACAAAUAUUUCCAGGUACAGCAAGUUUGUUACAUUAUGAUGACAGCAGGUGAUAUAGUACGAUUCUUAUCAUGAUAUUAACAGUCUUCAGUUGUGGGAUCACACAUGGGGGUUUUAAAAUUUAUAGUGAAAUGUUUAUUGUGAAAUAAAUUUUUAAAGAUUGAUUGGCAUGCAUUUAGCAUGCUGGCUGAAGAUAUAAUUUUCAAUACUGAAAAUUGAACAUAUCGUUUUCUAUAAUGGCUAGAAUAGUGGUCUUAAGAAUUCCAUUAUUUACAAUGUAAAACCUAGACAAAACAUUUUUUAAAAUAACAUACCAACAAAAAUAUAAAUUCUCUUUAUGAACUUCCCAUUAUUGUAAAUUUACUUAAGCUAUAUUUUAUGAUUUUAUGUCAAAGUUUCAUUCAUGAAUGAUAUUUUAAAGAAUAAAAAUGUUUAUACCUUAGCUCCAAAUUCCACAAGAUUAGCUAAAUUCUGUACAGACUUAGCCACUAGUAUCAGUGUUCUUGCAGCAAUGGGAGAUGGGGAAUCUGUAAGAGAAUUGGGCAGAGCUAAUGAGACCAACUCCGAAAGUACUCCCAGAAUAUCGUGCUCGGACACGCAAGGAUCCUGGUUCAAUACCUUUUAAUGGUAUAUGGGAGCUGAGCAAAAACCAUUCAUCCGUGGCAUGCCCUUUCUGUAACCGGCUCAACUGGCAGCGCA
This is a long non-coding RNA of Pipistrellus kuhlii (Kuhl's pipistrelle), 3445 nucleotides long. RefSeq lists it as uncharacterized. The transcript is spliced from 3 exons. Lineage: Eukaryota; Metazoa; Chordata; Mammalia; Chiroptera; Vespertilionidae. The record is from RefSeq and is a predicted model, not a curated record.